AUUGAACGCUGGCGGAAUGCUUUACACAUGCAAGUCGAGCGGCAGCGCGGGGGCAACCCUGGCGGCGAGCGGCGAACGGGUGAGUAAUACAUCGGAACGUGUCCUUAAGUGGGGGAUAGCUCGGCGAAAGCCGGAUUAAUACCGCAUAAGCUCUGAGGAGGAAAGCGGGGGCUCCGUAAGGACCUCGCGCUGUUGGAGCGGCCGAUGUCGGAUUAGCUAGUUGGUGGGGUAAAGGCCCACCAAGGCGACGAUCCGUAGCUGGUCUGAGAGGAUGAUCAGCCACACUGGAACUGAGACACGGUCCAGACUCCUACGGGAGGCAGCAAUGGGGAAUUUUGGACAAGUGGGGGCAACCCUGAUCCAGCCAUUCCGCGUGAGUGAAGAAGGCC
RNAcentral lists this ribosomal RNA (389 nucleotides) under uncultured bacterium. RNAcentral describes it as "bacterial SSU rRNA". It matches the Rfam family "Bacterial small subunit ribosomal RNA", at positions 29 to 416 of the family's 1533-position model. The record is from RNAcentral.